AUUGAACGCUGGCGGCAGGCCUAACACAUGCAAGACGAACGGUAACAGGAAGAAGCUUGCUUCUUUGCUGACGAGUGGCGGACGGGUGAGUAAUGUCUGGGAAACUGCCUGAUGGAGGGGGAUAACUACUGGAAACGGUAGCUAAUACCGCAUAACGUCGCAAGACCAAAGAGGGGGACCUUCGGGCCUUUUGCCAUCGGAUGUGCCCAGAUGGGAUUAGCUAGUAGGUGGGGUAACGGCUCACCUAGGCGACGAUCCCUAGCUGGUCUGAGAGGAUGACCAGCCACACUGGAACUGAGACACGGUCCAGACUCCUACGGGAGGCAGCAGUGGGGAAUAUUGCACAAUGGGCGCAAGCCUGAUGCAGCCAUGCCGCGUGUAUGAAGAAGGCCUUCGGGUUGUAAAGUACUUUCAGCGGGGAGGAAGGGAGUAAAGUUAAUACCUUUGCUCAUUGACGUUACCCGCAGAAGAAGCACCGGCUAACUCCGUG
This 490-nucleotide ribosomal RNA is filed under the name uncultured bacterium. Its description in RNAcentral is "partial 16S ribosomal RNA". It matches the Rfam family "Bacterial small subunit ribosomal RNA", at positions 30 to 507 of the family's 1533-position model. The record is from RNAcentral.